This 85-nucleotide transfer RNA is filed under the name Felis catus (domestic cat). It matches the Rfam family "tRNA". Rfam says of the family: Transfer RNA (tRNA) molecules are approximately 80 nucleotides in length. Their secondary structure includes four short double-helical elements and three loops (D, anti-codon, and T loops). RNAcentral also lists the same sequence under 1 other name. Lineage: Eukaryota; Metazoa; Chordata; Mammalia; Carnivora; Felidae. The record is from Rfam by way of RNAcentral.
GCCUGGGUGGCUCAGUUGGUUGAGCAUCUGACUUUGGCUCAGGUCGUGAUCUCACAGUUCAUGAGUUCGAGCCCCACACUGGGCU